Molecule: long non-coding RNA, 381 nt
Filed under: Phaseolus vulgaris (common bean)
Lineage: Eukaryota; Viridiplantae; Streptophyta; Magnoliopsida; Fabales; Fabaceae
Description: long non-coding RNA (PVUL_LNC001009)
Source: RNAcentral
CUAAAACGUAAUUAACAAGGUAAUUAACAAUAAACCAAGUUGCAAAGGAAAUAAGAGAACUCCCUUUGUUGAUCCUCUUUUGGUUAGUGCACUUCCUUGUUGUCUUUGCUUGUUGAUCUUCCAAGUGUUUGUAGUGUUUUCUCAAGAAUGUUUGUUUCGGCUUUGACCUUGUCUUCUCCUUAGAAUGAUGGCCUUUAAUCCUCCAAUUUCCAGCACCUAGCAAAGGGCUAAACCUUAACCAAAUCAAGUUCCCAUUCACAUAAGCACCAAAGAAGAAUUAAAUUCCAGCACCCAAAUUAGAGGUCAAAGAACAAAAACAAGAAACAAAUUUAAUUGAAUAAAACAGUACCACCAAAAGGAUUUAGAAUAUGACAACUAGAA